Haliotis rubra (blacklip abalone) is the source of this 173-nucleotide long non-coding RNA. RefSeq lists it as uncharacterized. Lineage: Eukaryota; Metazoa; Mollusca; Gastropoda; Lepetellida; Haliotidae. The transcript is spliced from 3 exons. The record is from RefSeq and is a predicted model, not a curated record.
AUAUAUUGUAAACACAGGAGAAAGCGUAUUGUAAAAGCAAGUCUAUAUGACAUCCUUUUUUCAUGCACAUGGUCUUAAAAACCAUGUUCAAGCCAUGCUAUUACAUACUUAUAUAGGUACAAAAUUCUACAGUUCAAGGUUUGCGAUAAAGUUAUGUAUUUCGAUCUGAAAUU